UUGAUCUCAAAUCAGGCAGGAUUACCCGCUGAACUUAAGCAUAUCAAUAAGCGGAGGA
This 58-nucleotide ribosomal RNA is filed under the name Amanita sp. AD-C56444. RNAcentral's name for it is "partial 26S ribosomal RNA". It matches the Rfam family "Eukaryotic large subunit ribosomal RNA", at positions 1 to 57 of the family's 3401-position model. The record is from RNAcentral. Lineage: Eukaryota; Fungi; Basidiomycota; Agaricomycetes; Agaricales; Amanitaceae.